GACGAACGCUGGCGGCGUGCUUAACACAUGCAAGUCGAACGGUGAACUCCGCUUGCGGGGGGAUCAGUGGCGAACGGGUGAGUAACACGUGGGCAACCUGCCCUCAGCUCUGGGAUAACUCCAAGAAAUUGGGGCUAAUACCGGAUAUGACCGCUGACCGCAUGGUCUGGUGGUGGAAAGAUUUAUCGGCUGGGGAUGGGCCCGCGGCCUAUCAGCUUGUUGGUGGGGUAGUGGCCUACCAAGGCGACGACGGGUAGCCGGCAUGAGAGGGGGACCGGCCCCACUGGGACUGAGGGACGGCCCAGCCGCCAACGGGGGGCAGCAGGGGGGAAUAUGGCGCAGUGGGCGAAAGCCUGAGGCAGCGGCGCCGCGUGGGGAAUGACGGCCUUCGGGUGGUAAACCUCUUUCAGCAGGGACGAAGCUAAAGUGACGGUACCUGCAGAAGAAGCACCGGCCAACUACGUG
RNAcentral lists this ribosomal RNA (465 nucleotides) under uncultured bacterium. RNAcentral's name for it is "partial 16S ribosomal RNA". It matches the Rfam family "Bacterial small subunit ribosomal RNA", at positions 28 to 507 of the family's 1533-position model. The record is from RNAcentral.